GUAGGUGGCAAGCGUUGUCCGGAAUUAUUGGGCGUAAAGCGCGCGCAGGGCGGUCCUUUAAGUCUGAUGUGAAAGCCCACGGCUCAACCGUGAGGGUCAUUGGAAACUGGGGGACUUGAGUACAGAAGAGGAAAGCGGAAUUCCAAGUGUAGCGGUGAAAUGCGUAGAGAUUUGGAGGAACACCAGUGGCGAAGGCGGCUUUCUGGUCUGUAACUGACGCUGAGGCGCGAAAGCGUGGGGAGCAAACAGGAUUAGAUACCCUGGUAGUCCACGCCGUAAACGAUGAGUGCUAAGUGUUAGGGGGUUUCCGCCCCUUAGUGCAGCAGCUAACGCAUUAAGCACUCCGCCUGGGGAGUACGGCCGCAAAGGCUG
Molecule: ribosomal RNA, 372 nt
Filed under: uncultured organism
Description: partial 16S ribosomal RNA
Rfam family: Bacterial small subunit ribosomal RNA
Source: RNAcentral